CGCCAAUAUUCUUAAGUGAUACUUUAUUUAUAACUACACGAUGGCCUGUCGUUGGUAUUAGACUGGUGGAAAACAUCCUCAAAGCUGCUCUAUACUUGCUCGAUCGUUAUUUGAAUAGCGAUUUCGAGAUACCUACCUCCCUGUCCGAUAUCCGAUCGACCACUAUUUGAAUGGAUAUUCCUAGCUAGCAAGGUGCCUGUCUGAUAUCUGCUACAUCGCUAUUAGAUUGAGAUUUCUAUUCAAAUAGAUAUUCCUGGCUAGCUCUGCUCUAUAUCCCUCAGAUCCCUAUUCAAAUAGAGAUUGCUACCUAGCUAGCUAUAUCCGCUUGAUCCCUAUAAGAAUGGAGAUUUCCAGUUAGCUAGCUGACUGCUUGCCCACCCACUACAUUUUCCCUCAUCUACACUAGCUCCAGAGCUUCCCUCCGUAGUUACUCUGCAGUGCUCUAUUGCUCUUGUGCCCUGCAUCCCCUAUAAAGUAUAUAGAUGAUCUUGAUAUUAUAGAUAGAUGUGGUGUUGAAUGAUGAUGAUUUUUUGAAGAUCAGAUAAUUAUUACCAUUGCAGUGUGAUUAGGUGUUUGGACUUCUAGGCGAGGUCACAUCAAACUCAAAAUGGGUCAUUCUCAGCAGCAACAGCUACAACAGAUAUAUACUUGGUACAUAGCAAAUAUACAUGAUGGGAAUCAAUGCAUUCACGCUCAAACACAGAAUGGUAGUAAAUGUACUGUACAUACAAUUAUCAAUAAUGACAUAGACAAGAACACAGGUC
Molecule: small RNA, 764 nt
Filed under: Histoplasma capsulatum var. duboisii H88
Lineage: Eukaryota; Fungi; Ascomycota; Eurotiomycetes; Onygenales; Ajellomycetaceae
Description: Histoplasma capsulatum H88 hypothetical RNA
Source: RNAcentral